CGGACGUCACACACAUGGAUACGCUAGGAAUCACGGGAUUGCCCGCCGCGCUACGCGGGCCGCGCUGGCUGACGACGAGUCGCAUAGUUUAUGACCUCACGCAUAGCGGACAGAGUCUGCUCUUUGCUGAGCCUAGUUGCUUUGUUGUGACAUCCGAGCGAAGGCGACGAAGGGGUCACCAGUGCUGACCCCGCAGGCCACUGUCACGGAGCCUAAGCGCAAAAGGGAACUGGGAGGGCGGAAGAGCGUCUACGCAUGCGCGCCCUGCUGCUGUUGCUGUUUCUUGAGGCGGGGGUCAGAGGUGAGCGGUGCCGGAAGUUCCCUUUGUGCUCCUCCGCUUUCCCGCCACAGGAGGGCGGUUGAAAGCGGCUGACAGACGUUGUCUCCACGGAGGAAACGGGAGGGAGUCGAUCGUAUUUGACGUCACCGGUGAGCGCCUUGGUCACAGGAUUAUCGCCCUGUUGACCAAGGAGCCGCAACCUCCUGUGUCUGGGAGCGAGAGCAAAAACCUGCGCGUGCGCGCUGAGUGCCGCUGAUUCUGCUGGUGAUCCCUGUUUCCGGUAUCCCGGAUCAGAGGUGACCGGGACCGGAAGUGGCCAUUUAAACUACGAAAAUCAGUUGUCAGCGGCCGUGAACGAAACGCCUGCGGGGACUUUACCAAAAGGCCUUAGACGGUGGCGAGGACUAGAGUCUGGGCACCGGAAGCUAAGGUGACAUCAGAUGCCACACAGCACCUGAGCGAGGCUUCGAUCAGACGCCGGCAGCUGGAGCGGCAGAAACUACAGGAACUUGAGCAGCGGCGUGAAGAGCAGAAGCGGAAGGAGCGUGAGGAUGAGGCGCGGCGGCGGGCAGGCCAGCGGAAGCAGCGGGAGGCAGAGCAGCAACAACGGGCACGGCGUCGGGAGGAGAAGCUUCGGCGCAGAGAGGCACGGCAACGAGCACGGAAGAGACGAGGCCGACGUCGAGAGGAGGAGGAGGAGGAGGAGGAGGCAGAGCCCCAGCCUGUGUUGGGGCGUGAGGAAGAGGAAGGUGCAGAGCCCCGUCGGCUACUGCUCGCCCAGCGCAACCUGCAGUCUGUGCGGCUCAUUGCUGCCCUGCUUGCCCGCGCUGAAGCCGCCAGACGCCGCCAGCGUGAGCAGAGCGAGGAGCGACGUCGCCAUGCAAAGGAGGCAGAGCUUCGGCGCCAGCAGGAGGCAGAGCUUCGGCGUCAGAGGGAGGCAGAGCUACGCCGAGUGGAAGAGGAGAAGCGGCGGGCACUGGGACUGCAACGUCGGGAGCGUGAGCUCCGACAUCGCCUCCUUGCCCUGCUGCUUGCCCGGGGGCCUGGCUUGGGGUGUCUAGUGGGCGGAGCCGGGACAGGAAGUGACGUUUUGGGGGCUGGGAACAGCAAGAUGGCUGUGGGGAGUGGCCAUGGGGAGGCAGGACAAAGCCAGACAAUGACAGGAAGUGAAAUCAGGGGAGAUGGAAGGGAGAAUAUGAAGACAGGAAGUGAUGUGGCUACCUCAGGAAAUGGCCACAUUGACAGAGAAAAUGAGAAAAUAAAGACAGGAAGUGGGAUCCCAGCCACAGGAGGUGGUACUGGGGACCCAAGAGGUG
This 1596-nucleotide long non-coding RNA is filed under the name Rattus norvegicus (Norway rat). RNAcentral's name for it is "long non-coding RNA NONRATT007813". The record is from RNAcentral. Lineage: Eukaryota; Metazoa; Chordata; Mammalia; Rodentia; Muridae.